Long non-coding RNA from Humulus lupulus (European hop), 507 nucleotides. RefSeq lists it as uncharacterized. NCBI's taxonomy places the organism in Eukaryota, Viridiplantae, Streptophyta, Magnoliopsida, Rosales, Cannabaceae. The record is from RefSeq and is a predicted model, not a curated record. The transcript is spliced from 2 exons.
GUGAUUUGGAGGAUGAAUGGGCCAAGGAGAGAAAAAGAAAAGUCCAAAAAGAGAAAAGGUACACCUGUCUCUGGAUACCCGGCCUAAGCUCGUUCAUCCACAUGCAGCGGAUCGAAGGAGACGGAGAUGAGAUGAGAUUAGGCUGAUCUGAGAUCUGAAUAGAGAAGAGAAGAGAAGAGAGUAAAGACAGCCCACUUCGUAUUGUUAAAGCCUGAGGCCUACAUGUUUCUCCACGCACCUGACAGCCCAGAGAAAUUGCCUCUCAUCAAAUUUUUUAUAUUAUUAGGUGAAUCACCGACCUCUCCAUUAUUCUCACUUUUAUCCGUCCUGUACGUAUGCUAUGUACUGUUUCAUAUUUGAACUAAAGUUACAACUUUUCAAAAAAAAUUACCGUUAAAUUAAAGAGUGAUGUUAGACUAGACAUACUUUUUUACAUACUAUCUGUGCAUAUAAUAAAGUGGAAAUUUGAAUGCUUUAAAAGUGGGACCAUGUGACAUAUAUUAUGGA